UUGAACGCUGGCGGCAGGCCUAACACAUGCAAGUCGCACGGUAACAGGAAGCAGCUUGCUGCUUCGCUGACGAGUGGCGGACGGGUGAGUAAUGUCUGGGAAGCUGCCUGAUGGAGGGGGAUAACUACUGGAAACGGUAGCUAAUACCGCAUAAUGUCGCAAGACCAAAGAGGGGGACCUUCGGGCCUCUUGCCAUCGGAUGUGCCCAGAUGGGAUUAGCUUGUUGGUGGGGUAACGGCUCACCAAGGCGACGAUCCCUAGCUGGUCUGAGAGGAUGACCAGCCACACUGGAACUGAGACACGGUCCAGACUCCUACGGGAGGCAGCAGUGGGGAAUAUUGCACAAUGGGCGCAAGCCUGAUGCAGCCAUGCCGCGUGUAUGAAGAAGGCCUUCGGGUUGUAAAGUACUUUCAGCGGGGAGGAAGGGAGUAAAGUUAAUACCUUUGCUCAGUGACGUUACCCGCAGAAGAAGCACCGGCUAACUCCG
This 487-nucleotide ribosomal RNA is filed under the name uncultured bacterium. RNAcentral describes it as "partial 16S ribosomal RNA". It matches the Rfam family "Bacterial small subunit ribosomal RNA", at positions 30 to 505 of the family's 1533-position model. The record is from RNAcentral.